UCGUACGCCGGUAGAGGUGGGUGGACAACAAGAAGAAAUCGGCUCCUCCUUGCCGACGGUCGUUGGGUUUCGCGGCUGCCCACCGUGGCUGAAGCGAUGCCGCUGGUAGUGGCCAGCACGGUGAUGAGGAGAAGCAGGGCGGCGUUCCCCAUUGUACAGACAAGAACAAGUAACGCAGCUGGAGGUGCUUGGCUCGUUGCUCUUGAUUAGCUGAGGGGUGUGUUUUAUGUGAGGA
This 235-nucleotide long non-coding RNA is filed under the name Hordeum vulgare. Its description in RNAcentral is "long non-coding RNA (HVUL_LNC016593)". Lineage: Eukaryota; Viridiplantae; Streptophyta; Magnoliopsida; Poales; Poaceae. The record is from RNAcentral.